RNAcentral lists this signal recognition particle RNA (285 nucleotides) under Microcebus murinus (gray mouse lemur). RNAcentral's name for it is "Metazoan signal recognition particle RNA (ENSMICG00000036526.2)". It matches the Rfam family "Metazoan signal recognition particle RNA". Rfam says of the family: The signal recognition particle (SRP) is a universally conserved ribonucleoprotein. It is involved in the co-translational targeting of proteins to membranes. The record is from RNAcentral. Lineage: Eukaryota; Metazoa; Chordata; Mammalia; Primates; Cheirogaleidae.
GCCAGGUGCAGUGGUGCGCACUUGCAGUCCUAGCUACUGGGGAGGUGAGGCAGGAGGAUCACUCAAGUCUAGGAGUUCCAGGCUGUUGUGCACUAUGACAAUCAGGUGUCUGCACCAAGUUCAGCAUCAACACAGUGACCUUCAGGAAGUGCCAGCAUACCAGGCCGGUUGCAUAGGAGGCAACUGGCAGAGCAAGUCAACGCUCCUAUGCUGAGCAGUAGCUGGAUCUUGCCCCUGAGCAGCCCCUGCUCUCCUGCCUGUGCAACACAGUGAGACCCUGUCUCU